Long non-coding RNA from Amphimedon queenslandica, 469 nucleotides. RefSeq lists it as uncharacterized. The record is from RefSeq and is a predicted model, not a curated record. The transcript has 3 exons. NCBI's taxonomy places the organism in Eukaryota, Metazoa, Porifera, Demospongiae, Haplosclerida, Niphatidae.
AGUCUGUUUAUUCCCCAAUGAGACUUGCACUUGCCCUUCGACAACCAUCUGCUAUCACAUCAUUGGUGCUAGGAUAAGUAUUGGACUAGAUGUUUCCUGUUCACAACAAAAAGUUAAUUUAUCUCAAUUAAGAAGGAACACUCGGUCAUGGCCUCAGAAAAAAAGUGGUAGAAAAGCCCCUAGGAAAGGAGAUUAUGAAGUUAUUUGUGCCCCAGAUUCAGAAGAAAGUUUGAAAGUAUGACCUAUGUAUAACCAUACAUGCAAUACAAUGUUACUAUUAUCUGAAAUUAAUGUAUAGGAUUCAGGAUGCAAAUCUGUCGUAGAUCAGGAAGAUUCCCAGGCUGCUAAACAUUUCAAAGAUAAUUUAAAAUCUGCUGUAAAGGAGAAUGAAAUUAGUGCUACCGGUAAAGGAAUCAAUAAUGAUAAUAAGACAGGACAUGAAUCACAUGAUAAAAAUCUAAGUCAGCGC